UCAUACUGGGCCUGUUACCUUCAUAG
Molecule: non-coding RNA, 26 nt
Filed under: Cricetulus griseus (Chinese hamster)
Lineage: Eukaryota; Metazoa; Chordata; Mammalia; Rodentia; Cricetidae
Source: RNAcentral